This 774-nucleotide ribosomal RNA is filed under the name uncultured Neocallimastigales. RNAcentral describes it as "partial large subunit ribosomal RNA". It matches the Rfam family "Eukaryotic large subunit ribosomal RNA", at positions 22 to 639 of the family's 3401-position model. Lineage: Eukaryota; Fungi; Neocallimastigomycota; Neocallimastigomycetes; Neocallimastigales. The record is from RNAcentral.
GUACACGCUGUGACUAGCAUAUCAAUAAGCGGAGGAAAAGAAACUAACAAGGAUUCCCCUAGUAACGGCGAGUGAAGCGGGAAGAGCUCAAAUUUGAAAUCUUAAAGGGUUUCCCUUUACGAAUCGUAGUUUAAUGAAGUGUUUUCUGUUGAGGUUUUGGUAAAAGUUCUUUGGAAUAGGACAUCAUAGAGGGUGAGAAUCCCGUAUUUGACCUUUACUUUCAACUUUGUGAUACACUUUCAAAGAGUCGGAUUGUUUGGGAAUGCAGUCCAAAAUGGGUGGUAAAUUUCAUCUAAAGCUAAAUAUUGGCGAGAGACCGAUAGCGAACAAGUACCGUGAGGGAAAGAUGAAAAGAACUUUGAAAAGAGAGUUAAACAGUACGUGAAAUUGUCAAAAGGGAAGCGUUUGACACCAGUGUUGUUUUUCUGAAAAUCAAUUAAAGAACUGUUUAUGCUAAGUUGUUUAGACUUUAUCAGCUAACUGUUUAGUUUUGAGCUUUUCUUUAAUGCACUUUUCAGUUAACAAGUCAACAUCAAUUUCUUUUGCUGUAAAAAAGCUUGAGGAAGGUGGCUUGAGAUUCGUCUUAAGUGUUUAUAGCCUCUUGCCUAUGCAGUCGGAGAGAUUGAGGUCUGCAGCGUAGAUCCUUCGGGGCUAAAUGCAUUUGUGCUAAGUUAUAGCAUUUUAUAGACAACUUGUUGACUAUGAUUUGUCUUGUAGCUUACUCGCUUAUGUUAUUUUACCUACGCUUAGGAUGUUGACGCGCGUGUGUGCGUG